UGUCCACAGGAUGGGCGGGAGGACCCGUUGAUUUUAAGUAUAUCAAUAAGUUGAGGAGAAGAUACUUACUAGGAUUCCCUUAGUAAUGGCGAGUGAAACAGGAUCUCUCUAGCAUGGGAGUCGGGCUGCUGUGCAGGCCGAAUUGUAGUCUGGAGAAGCGUCCCUCAUAACAGAUCGGGCCCAAGUCUCCUGGAAAGGGGCGCCGGGGCGGGUUAGAGCCCCAUUCGUCCUGAACUGUUUCGCAACACGGGGUGCUAUCACCGAGUCAGAUUGCUUGGAAAUGUAACCCCAAUUGGGCGAUAAAUUCAGUACAAGGCUAAAUAUGUACGAGAGACCGAUAAUAAACCAGUACAGUGGGGGAAAGAUGAAAAGAACUUUGAAAAGAGAGUCAAAGAGUGCUUGAAAUUGUCGAGAGGGAAGUGGAUGGGGGCUGGCAUUGCAUCCGGGUCUGAAGUGGGGAGGCUUAAUGCUUCUCCGCUGCUUGGCUCGCGACAUGGAUCAUUGCAGGCCUUACUGAUGGCUAGAUUACAGGCGAAAUAUGCUCGAAGAGGCACAAUUAGUACCGCCAAUGAAGCAU
This 577-nucleotide ribosomal RNA is filed under the name Rhizanthella gardneri. Its description in RNAcentral is "eukaryotic LSU rRNA". It matches the Rfam family "Eukaryotic large subunit ribosomal RNA", at positions 1 to 575 of the family's 3401-position model. The record is from RNAcentral. Lineage: Eukaryota; Viridiplantae; Streptophyta; Magnoliopsida; Asparagales; Orchidaceae.